Molecule: non-coding RNA, 811 nt
Organism: Drosophila melanogaster (fruit fly)
Lineage: Eukaryota; Metazoa; Arthropoda; Insecta; Diptera; Drosophilidae
Source: Ensembl
CGAUUUAGUUAUUAGAUAGAUGCGGAGGCCCCACGCCCACGACACCGACACCGCAUGGAGUUGCUGGCCGCUCCCUUUACCCCAUCUGUCCCGCUUAGCGUCCUGGAGCAUCCUUAUCUGACGCAGAACUCGACAAAUGAAAGGGUCGCAAUGACAACUCAAUGUAAAAGUUAGGCAUGCAAACUAAGGACCGGGAUGUGGAUGGCAGUGAAAGCAGGAACAUGAAGUUUGAUAUCAUUAAAGGCCACUUAUGUGUCAAAUGCAACACAGCAGUGGCUGCGGCAGGACUCGCAGGAUUCGUAGGGAGACGGAACCAUACCGAGAAGUCGACGGCACACUUAAAUGUCAUUGAAAUUGAAGCUCACUUGACAAGUAAUGCUGGCGCAACACAACCAGCCCCUCCCCCCCCCCCUCCACAGCAACAUACGUAUGCAUGUGCAGCCCCCUUGGCAAGGGGGUUAACUUAAGUCAACUACACAAAAGCCAUGUCAGCAGACGCUGACAGAACCGCCCCAAAGCCAAAGCCCGUCUCGCCUUUAUAAAACUCGCUUGUGUGUGCGGCAAAAUGCUCCAGCUUUUUCUCUGGAUGAGCCUUGGAAGAUUGACAUUAUCUGUGGGCCCGAGUGAUUUGCCAGCGAUUGGAGAGGAGUAGCACGAAGGCAAGGUAGCUUGAGAAAGCGAAGCAGUUAAUACCCUGAUUAAUCCUUGAUGUGUUGAUCCAUCUUAGCAGUUAAGACGUGUUGUCCCUACAGCCCCAUAAGUUAGUGUGUAUAAGAUCUUCUAAUUCAAAAACCAUUUAUUUCAAAAUAGU